Molecule: ribosomal RNA, 468 nt
Filed under: uncultured bacterium
Lineage: Bacteria
Description: partial 16S ribosomal RNA
Rfam family: Bacterial small subunit ribosomal RNA
Source: RNAcentral
GACGAACGCUGGCGGCGUGCUUAAUACAUGCAAGUCGAACGGAAAGGCCCUGCUCUUGCGGGGUGCUUGAGUGGCGAACGGGUGAGUAACACGCGAGUAACCUGCCCCUGACUUUGGGAUAACUCUAGGAAACUGGGGCUAAAACCGGAUAGGAGCUUCUGCUGCAUGGUGGGGGUUGGAAAGUGUCGGCGGUUGGGGAUAGACUCGCGGCUUAUCAGCUUGUUGGUGGAGUAGUGGAAUACCAAGGCUUUGACGGGUAGGCGGCCUGAGAGGUUGGCCGGCCACAUGAGGCCUAAGGGACGGCGCAGAAGCGAACGGGCGGCAGUGGUGGAGAGUAUUACGCAGUGAGCGGGAGCCUGAUACGACGGCGCCGCGAGCGGAAUAACGGCCUUCGAGUUAUAAACAGCUUUCGCCGGUAACGAAGCGUGAGUGACGGUAAUGGAUAAGGAAGCACCGGCUAACUACGUG